UGGUGUGUUUGGACAUUCAGUGUUUGCCUU
Molecule: non-coding RNA, 30 nt
Filed under: Rattus norvegicus (Norway rat)
Lineage: Eukaryota; Metazoa; Chordata; Mammalia; Rodentia; Muridae
Source: RNAcentral